UGUUCUCCAAUCUGUGGACAAAGACCAAGUCUUGCUGGUUUGCUUCUUUUCUUCCUUGGAAUACAGUAGCCCCCAAAAUGAGCAAAACAAAAGGUUGUAAAUCAAAGCUGGAUGGUUUCCCGCAGUAAUGCUUCACUUUUCCCUCAUGGAUACUAUCAACUUUGUAAUUAAGUACAAUUCCCCCUGAUGUUGCAAGCCUAGAGUGUAUCUGAAUUCAUCUUUAGUAGAAGGCAGUGAGAAAAAGGAC
Jaculus jaculus (lesser Egyptian jerboa) is the source of this 247-nucleotide long non-coding RNA. RefSeq lists it as uncharacterized. NCBI's taxonomy places the organism in Eukaryota, Metazoa, Chordata, Mammalia, Rodentia, Dipodidae. The transcript is spliced from 3 exons. The record is from RefSeq and is a predicted model, not a curated record.